GAUGAACGCUGGCGGCGUGCCUAAUACAUGCAAGUCGAGCGAACGGACGAGAAGCUUGCUUCUCUGAUGUUAGCGGCGGACGGGUGAGUAACACGUGGAUAACCUACCUAUAAGACUGGGAUAACUUCGGGAAACCGGAGCUAAUACCGGAUAAUAUUUUGAACCGCAUGGUUCAAAAGUGAAAGACUGUCUUGCUGUCACUUAUAGAUGGAUCCGCGCUGCAUUAGCUAGUUUGUAAGGUAACGGCUUACCAAGGCAACGAUGCAUAGCCGACCUGAGAGGGUGAUCGGCACAACUGGAACUGAGAAACGGUCCAGACACCUACGGGAGGCAGCAGUAGGGAAAAAUACGCAAAGGGCGAAAGACUGAAGGAGAAAAGCCGCGUGAGUGAUGAAGGUCUUCGGAUCGUAAAACUCUGUUAUUAGGGAAGAAAAUAUGUGUAAGUAACUGUGCACAUCUUGAAGGAACAUAAUCAGAAAGCAACGGCAAACUACGU
This 496-nucleotide ribosomal RNA is filed under the name uncultured bacterium. RNAcentral describes it as "partial 16S ribosomal RNA". It matches the Rfam family "Bacterial small subunit ribosomal RNA", at positions 28 to 506 of the family's 1533-position model. The record is from RNAcentral.